CGGCAACACUCCAGCGUCCCUAAUCUGUAACCCCAGGCCCUUCAGCUCUGCCUAACCAGCCCAGCCCUUUUCUUUCAUUUUAAUUUUUUAAAGCUUUGUAUUAAUACACCCUCUUGGCGUGUAAUGCCUACCUUCCUUGUGUGGACUUGGUACACGCGCGUGACGCAUCUCAGUUCUUUCUGCUUCCGCUCCCCCACCUCCAUCUCGGCCCCUGCUCGUUGGCGAAAGGUCGAUCUUCCCAUUUCCUGUUAUCUAGCAUUCAUCUUGUUCUUCUCCCGUCAUCGGUGGCAUUUAAGGUAACUGAGCUGCAAAGCUGCAUCCCUGGAAGUUCUCUCAGCUGCCAAGGCAGAAACCAUUCAUGCUGCACAGCAGAACAAAAUAAAGGCAGAUCUGAGCACUAUUUCCAGUCCAUCGGUCUGUGGGUGGGCAGAAUUACAAAAGCCACUCGCCCAGACUCCACCCAGGACGAACACCCUGAAAUCAAAGCCCAGUGUUCUUCCGCAACAGUUACAGAAACAGGCUGUCACAGGCAGUGGUCCUGCAGGGCCAGUGUCCCAGAUCCUGUUUGCCGAAAUACAAAGAAGCAUUCUGUGACAAGUGAGUGAGCUUUGCUCCCUGGUGUUCUUGCUGCCAAAGCUGAUGGUAGCACUGGUGAUCGUGAGUCUUACAGGACAGUUCCACCUCUAGACAGAGGCUUCUCCCUAAUGAAUCCGAACAUUCAGAAGCCACAUGGGAGAAUAUAAGUGAUGACUUUAUAGGAAGUGAAUCAAAGAGUUAAGGAGCUUUGGAACUGCGCAGAACCAAUAUAAAUUACUUGUUUUCUAGGGAACUAUUAUGAUAUGCUGAGGCACCUCGGCAGGCUGAGGACUUCGACCUAAAUAAAGGCUGAUUGAAAG
This 896-nucleotide long non-coding RNA is filed under the name Fukomys damarensis (Damara mole-rat). RNAcentral describes it as "lncRNA (ENSFDAG00000029514.1)". Lineage: Eukaryota; Metazoa; Chordata; Mammalia; Rodentia; Bathyergidae. The record is from RNAcentral.